GACAGAGGGUGCAAACGUUGUUCGGAAUUACUGGGCGUAAAGCGCAUGUAGGCGGCCACGCAGGUCGGAUGUGAAAUCCCUCGGCUCAACCAAGGAAGUGCAUACGAAACCGCAUGGCUGGAGUCCCGGAGAGGGUGGCGGAAUUCUCGGUGUAGAGGUGAAAUUCGUAGAUAUCGAGAGGAACACCGGCGGCGAAAGCGGCCACCUGGACGAGGACUGACGCUGAGAUGCGAAAGCGUGGGGAGCAAACAGG
This 253-nucleotide ribosomal RNA is filed under the name uncultured bacterium. RNAcentral describes it as "partial 16S ribosomal RNA". It matches the Rfam family "Bacterial small subunit ribosomal RNA", at positions 524 to 776 of the family's 1533-position model. The record is from RNAcentral.